AGCGCCAGAAAUGCGCGCAAGCGCACACGGGCAGCUCCGUAAGCUUCAGGCCCACGCCGCGCAGGCGCGCUCCUGUUCGCUCGGCUGCGUGGGAGCGGAAUCCGGGAGCCCAGCCUGGACUUGAGGCAGGUCGGGAAGAUGCUGGGCACCAGCACUGCCUGCAGGGACAGAAGAAAAACUCUCUGAAGGAUUGUGCGGCAGUGGCUCGGCCCCGCGAGGUCACACACUCACUGAUUUGUGAGCAAAACGGAGACCAGUGUCUACUUUACGGUAACGACCCUCCCAGCAGGCCGCACCUUGACCUUCUGGACGUGGUGUCCCACAGUUUCGUUCACAAGGCAUUGGUGGAGCGCCGUGCCACUCUGGCAGCCAAGGAGCAUAAGCCACGGCUCAAGGCCCAGAGGUAGGACCAGCGGGACCAAACUGCAGGGUGCAAGGGGCAGCAGCGAGAGGCCCAGAAGAGGAAGAGCCUGGUGGACAUGAAGAGGGCACGGGCAGAGGCGAGGCCAACAGGGACAGUGAUGCUGAGGACCCUCGACUAACUGCGAACCGAAUUCCUGAAAAUGUAAUCAUCACUUCUUAAAAGCUGAUGUGGGCUGUUUGUAUCGCACAAGCAUUAUGGGAGACAACCAUUUUAUUGUGCAAAAGGAUGUUAUUUGGAAAUUCAGAAAGGACACAGAUAGAACCAGAAAAUUGGAGACUCAAGCAAUUUGACAAGGACAAAACCUUAAGCCAGAGGAGAGAAGACUGCCCUAGUCAUAACGCCAGAAGUGUUAAUGGGCUAAAAGUCAAGUCUUCAGAUUUCUACUCUACUGAGAAUUCUGUAGACAAUGAAUGUAGAAAUGCAACAACAAAAGAAAAGAAAGCGAACUGGUCUAUUGUGGUGUGAAAGUCAGGGGUCUUGUCAAUGUUAUCAUCUUAAUUGCUUCAUAAAA
RNAcentral lists this long non-coding RNA (935 nucleotides) under Equus asinus (donkey). RNAcentral describes it as "lncRNA (ENSEASG00005033177.1)". Lineage: Eukaryota; Metazoa; Chordata; Mammalia; Perissodactyla; Equidae. The record is from RNAcentral.